RNAcentral lists this long non-coding RNA (1889 nucleotides) under Mus musculus (house mouse). RNAcentral's name for it is "long non-coding RNA chr2:96605663-96607552". The record is from RNAcentral. Lineage: Eukaryota; Metazoa; Chordata; Mammalia; Rodentia; Muridae.
ACAGAUCAACAGACCAUAGUCACUUAAUCUAUUCACUUUGAGCAGUAGAGAGUCUCUGUAUUGAUUACUAUCCAUUGUGACAAGAUCUAAGUAGUAUGCACUACCUACUGAGAGAAAAACUACACAAGAUCAAGGCAACCAAUGCAAGAGACUCAUGAAACUCUACCUCUAGCUGAGGAGCUACUGACUGAUGUAGAUAUAAUGGAAAGACAGUAGGUUUCAUUUUGUAGUACAGCCCAUGGAAGAUUACCCAUCAUCCAAAGGAUGAUGUCUUUCAGCCAUGUGCAUAAAAGUGGCAUCAAUUGAAUAAAGUGGGUUAUAGAAAAAGGAAAAAGAGGAAGAGGGAAGAGGACAUAAAGGUAGGAGAUGGACAUACAGUUGGAGUUGGAUGAUGAUUUAGCCAGGCAGGGAUUGAGAGAAAAUAUAAAUGCUUUUAUUUGUGAGGGGAAUCAUACAAUAGAAACCCCACACUGAGCUUCUUCAUUGCAUUUGUGGGUGUUUUUUUUGUCUGUUUUUGCUUUCUUAUUUUGUUUUGUUUUAUAUUGUUUUGGGGGGAGGGUGUACAAUGUGCAUGCAGCAGAAUCUAGGAAUACAUAUCUAUUUUCAUUAUUCUGCUUUUAUAUUUUAGUUAGACAAGAGGGAAGGUCAACAAAACAAGAGUGUAGCAACAGAAAAUGCCUGACACAUAUACAGCAGAGGACUGCCUGGUCCAGGCUUAGAGAAGAUGGACCUAACACUCAAGAUACUUGAGGUCCCAGGGAGUGGAGAGGACUAGUGAUGUUGGGAAUGGGGACACACCGUUUUGGAGACUGGGAGGGGAGCAGGAUUUAUGAGAUAAGGAAUAGUCAAAGGGUGGAUCAGGAGGGGCAUAAUAACUGGAAUGUAAAAAAAAAUAGAUAAAUAAAUAAAUAAAUAAAUGCCUUUGGCUACAAUGAGAAAAGAAUGGUGUGAAAUAAGGAAACAAAACAAAAAGAAACUAAAACCCCCCAAACAAAACAAACAAACAACAUCAACAACAGCCAAAGAGUUGUUCAUAUAGGAGUUUGGAAGCUGUUACAAUGAUUUAAGGGAUCAAUUUAGAGGAAUCACAUGCAUUUUGAAAAUAUUAUAAGAUUAAGAGAUGCAAGCAAGGUUUCAGGGAUCCAAAUUUGGAAUAGAGAAAGAUUGGGAGAUUCAAAUUUUAUUUGGGAAAUAGAGCUAAGCAGACUGAUUGUUAGGAUAUAAGCACACGAAAGAAGAUAAGGAUUUGUAUAGUAGAUAAUGAUUCUGGAUUGUUUGAAUCGAUGCAAUAGUGUAAGCAUAUUUAAGAAUAUUGUCAUUAGAAUGAGGAGAUAUAAUUGUUUCAGUUUGAGAUAUAAUGUCCCUGUUGAAAUCUAUGUCCAGACACAUAUAUUUGUAAUAACAAAAAAAAAGAAUGCCAUGGAUUUGAAAGAGAACAAUGAGUUUGUUUGUUUUCAUGGUACAAAAAAAGAAGAGGAAAAUUAUGCCAUUAUAAUAUAAAGAAAUAAUUAAAAAUAAAAAUUCAUUGAUUUUUAGAUAUCUUAGAUAUUUUAGUAUUUCUUAGAUGUCAUGGGCUCCUCUAUUCUAAAUACAUCAAAGUGUCCUGCUAUGGUAACUGACCAUUAAUUUGUCAACAUAGGAUACCUGAGUAUUUUCAAAUAUCAGCUAUUUUACAAAACAAAAAUAUAUCUGUUCUUGAUGACAACAGAUGACAAGUUAAAUCAAAGUGCCCAUUUGCUAUUUAUGUGGUAGACAUACACUAUAACUUUGAAUAAAUUGGAAAGUAAAUUAAUCAUAACAGAAUGAUAAUAACUGAACUCAUUUCUGGGCAGAGCUUAUUAAAUAGACAAAUGUAAACUAACAAAAACAAAAGCAAUAACUCAGUGAUU